This 7102-nucleotide ribosomal RNA is filed under the name Plenodomus lingam JN3. Its description in RNAcentral is "28S_rRNA". The stretch from base 307 to 3655 matches the Rfam family "Eukaryotic large subunit ribosomal RNA". Lineage: Eukaryota; Fungi; Ascomycota; Dothideomycetes; Pleosporales; Leptosphaeriaceae. The record is from RNAcentral.
ACUUUUAACAACAGAUCUCUUGGUUCUAGCAUUAAUAAAGAAUGCAGCGAAAUGCGAUAAGUAGUGUAAAUUGCAGAAUUUAGUGAAUUAUUAAAUCUUUAAACGCACAUUGCGCCCCUUAGUAUUCUAUAGGGCAUGCCUAUUUAAGCGUUAUUUGUACCCUUAAGCUCUGCUUAGUGUUAGGUGUUUAUUCUACUUAGGACUUGCCUUAAAACAAUUGGUAGCUAGCAUAUUAGCCUAGAGCGUAGUAUAUUUUGCGCCUCUUGUUAUAGUUGUUAGCAUCUAUUAAGACACUUUUUAAGCUCUUAACCUUAGAUUAGGUAGGGAUACCCGCUAAACUUAAGCAUAUUAAUAAGCGGAGGAAAAGAAACUAAUAGGGAUUGCCCUAGUAACGGCGAGUGAAGCGGCAACAGCUUAAAUUUAAAAUCUAGCUCUUUUAGGGUCCAAGUUGUAAUUUGCAGAGGGCGCUUUAGCGUUAGCAGCGGUCUAAGUUCCUUAGAAUAGGACGUUAUAGAGGGUAAGAAUCCUAUAUAUAGUCGCUGGCCUUCGCCGUGUAAAGCCCCUUUAACAAGUUAAGUUAUUUAGGAAUGCAGCUCUAAAUAGGAGGUAAAUUUCUUCUAAAGCUAAAUACUAGCCAGAGACUAAUAGCGCACAAGUAGAGUAAUUAAAAGAUAAAAAGCACUUUAGAAAGAGAGUUAAAUAGCACGUGAAAUUGUUAAAAGGGAAGCGCUUGCAGCUAGACUUGCCUAUAGUUACUUAUCUAGGCUUUUGUCUAGUGCACUCUUCUACAGGCAGGCUAGCAUUAGUUUAGGCGGUUAGAUAAAGGUCUCUAUUACGUACCUCCCUUUAGGGAGGCCUUAUAGGGGAGACAAUAUACAACCAGCCUAGACUAAGGUCCGCGCAUCUGCUAGGAUGCUAGCGUAAUAGCUGUAAGCGGCCUGUCUUAAAACAUGGACUAAGGAGUCUAACAUCUAUACAAGUGUUUAGGUGUUAAGCCUAGACGCGUAAUAAAAGUAAACAGAGGUAGGAACCCUUUUAGGGUGCACUAUUAACCAAUCCUAAUGUCUUUGGAAGGAUUUAAGUAAGAGCAUAGCUAUUAGGACCUAAAAGAUAGUAAACUAUACUUAAAUAGAGUAAAGCUAGAGGAAACUCUAGUAGAGGCUCGCAGCGGUUCUAACGUGCAAAUCAAUUAUUAAAUUUAGGCAUAGGGGCGAAAGACUAAUCAAACUAUCUAGUAGCUAGUUCCUACCAAAGUUUCCCUUAGGAUAGUAGUAACGUAUUUAGUUUUAUAAGGUAAAGCAAAUAAUUAGAGGCCUAGGGGUUAAAACAACCUUUACCUAUUCUUAAACUUUAAAUAUAUAAGAAGUCCUUAUUACUUAAUUAAACGUGGACACUUAAAUGUACUAUUACUAGUAGGCCAUUUUUAGUAAGUAGAACUAGCAAUGCAGGAUAAACUAAACGCAGGGUUAAGGUGCUAGAAUGCACGCUUAUUAGACACUACAAAAGGUGUUAGUUUAUCUAGAUAGCAGGAUAGUAGCUAUAGAAGUUAGAAUCUACUAAGGAGUGUGUAACAACUCACCUACUAAAUAAACUAGCCCUAAAAAUAGAUGGCGCUUAAGCGUGUUACCUAUACCCCGCUGCUAGGGCAAGAUUUAAGCCCUAGUAAGUAGGCAGGCGUAGAGGCUCGUAACAAAGCCUUAGGGGUAACCCUAGGUAAAACAGCCUCUAGUGCAGAUCUUGGUAGUAGUAGCAAAUACUUAAAUAAGAACUUUAAGGACUAAAGUAGGGAAAGGUUCUGUGUAAACAGUAGUUAGACACGGGUUAGUUAAUCCUAAGAGAUAGGGUAAUUCUGUUUUAAUAUUAGUGCUUGCGCUGCGCCCUUAAAAGGGAAGCUAGUUAAUAUUCUAGUACCUAGAUGUAGAUUCUCCGCGGCAACGCAACUAAGAGCGGAGACCUUAGCAGGAGCCCUAAGAAGAGUUCUCUUUUCUUCUUAAUAGUCUGUUACCCUAAAAUUAGUUUGUCUAGAGCUAGGGUUUAAUAGCUAGAAGAGCGCUGUACUUUUACAGUAUUUAGUGCGCUCCUAACAAGCCUUAAAAAUCUACUUAAAGAAAUAGUUUUUACGCUAGGUUAUACUUAUAACUGCAGCAGGUCUCUAAGGUAAAAAGCCUCUAGUUAAUAGAACAAUAUAGAUAAGGGAAGUUAGCAAAAUAGAUCUGUAACUUUAGGAAAAGGAUUAGCUCUAAGGGUUAGGUACGUUAGGCCUUAGGGAGAAGCCUCUAGCGCAGAAGGGCACUAACUGUAAGGUAGGCGCCUCUUAGCGCUAGGGUGCAGACACCCUUAGCAGGUUUUGGCCGUCUAGCGUACGUUUAACAACUAACUUAGAACUAGUAUAGAUAAGGGGAAUCUAACUGUCUAAUUAAAAUAUAGCAUUAUAAUAGCUAGAAAGUAGUAUUAACAUAAUAUAAUUUCUGCCUAGUGCUCUAAAUAUUAAAGCAAAGAGAUUUAACUAAGCGCGGGUAAACGGCGGGAGUAACUAUAAAUCUCUUAAGGUAGCUAAAUACCUUAUUAUCUAAUUAGUGACGCGCAUAAAUAGAUUAAUAAGAUUCCUACUAUCCUUAUCUACUAUCUAGCGAAACUAUAGCUAAGGGAAUAGGCUUAGCUAAAUUAGCGGGGAAAGAAGACCCUGUUAAGCUUAACUCUAGUUUAAUAUUGUGAAAAGACAUAGGGGGUGUAGAAUAGGUAGGAGCUUUAGUGCUAGUAAAAUACCACUACCCUUAUUGUUUUUUUACUUAUUCAAUAAAGCAGAGCUAGGCCUUACUACCUAACUUCUAGCGUUUAAGGUCCUUUGUAGGCUAAUCUAGGUUAAAGAUAUUGUUAGGUAGGGAGUUUAGCUAGGGCGGCAUAUCUAUUAAACUAUAACGCAGGUGUCCUAAGGGGGACUUAUAGAGAAUAGAAAUCUCUAGUAGAGUAAAAGGGCAAAAGUCCCCUUAAUUUUAAUUUUUAGUGUGAAUACAAACUAUAAAAGUGUGGCCUAUUAAUCCUUUAGUCCCUUAAAAUUUAAGGCUAGAGGUGCUAGAAAAGUUACUAUAGGGAUAACUAGCUUGUGGCAGCUAAGCGUUUAUAGCGACGUUGCUUUUUAAUCCUUUAAUAUUAGCUCUUCCUAUUAUACUAAAGUAGAAUUUAGUAAGCGUUAGAUUAUUUACCUACUAAUAGGGAACGUAAGCUAGGUUUAGACUAUUGUAAGACAGGUUAGUUUUACCCUACUAAUAACCUUGCCCUAAUAGUAAUACUGCUUAGUACGAGAGGAACCGUGGUUUUAGAUAAUUAGUUUUUGGGGCUGUCUAACUAGGCAUUACUACGAAGCUACUAUCUGCUAGAUUAUAGCUAAACGCCUCUAAGUUAGAAUCUAUGCUAGAAUAGGGUAAUUUCCGCCUACACUAGUUAGAUACAAAUAGGCCUUUGGCCCAGAACCUUACUAGAUUAGCGUUAGCAGCCCUAUUAAAGUUAGGGUUGUUAGCUAGUAUAUUACAAUUAUAUAGUGCGUAGGAUUGAAUCCUUUAUAGAUAACUUAGUUGUCUAGCUAGGUCGUGUAAGUAGUUAAGUAGCCUUGUUAUUACAAGCUACUAAGCGUAAGCCCGUUGCUAGCUUAGUUAAAAUUAGGAUAUUAUGCCCUCCUUAUUUGCAAAACUGCUGCCUAAAUAGCUGCUAUUAAUAGAAGGAAGAGGGCCAUAGCGAACAAGUUAUAUAGUAAUUGCAAGAUAGAGAGGGCUAGAGCUAGGAGCAAUCCUUACAAAAUAUACAAAAGAACAGGUUAUAUGUGUACGUACCUUAGGUAGUUAAUAUAUAGCAUAGGAAGAUUAAGAAAGGAUUUAAGAUAAUCUAUAUAGAUUUUUAGGCGGUAAUCUAUAACUUAAGAGCGUUCUAUAACUUUUUAUUUUUUAGGGGUAGUGUUCUAUAACUCUAGGGCGUUCUAUAACUUUAGGGCGUUCUAUAACUUUAGGGCGUUCUAUAACUUUUUAUUUUUUAGGGGUAGUAUUCUAUAACUUUAGGGCGUUCUAUAACUUUUUAUUUUUUAGGGGUAGUGUUCUAUAACUUUAGGGCGUUCUAUAACUUUAGGGCGUUCUAUAACUUUAGGGCGUUCUAUAACUUUUUAUUUUUUAGGGGUAGUAUUCUAUAACUUUAGGGCUUUCUAUAACUUUAGGGCGUUCUAUAACUUUAGGGCGUUCUACAACUUUUUAUUUUUUAGGGGUAGUGUUCUAUAACUUUAGGGCGUUCUAUAACUUUAGGGCGUUCUAUAACUUUAGGGCGUUCUAUAACUUUUUAUUUUUUAGGGGUAGUGUUCUAUAACUUUAGGGCGUUCUAUAACUUUUUCUUUUUUAGAGGUAGUGUUCUAUAACUUUAGGGCGUUCUAUAACUUUUUAUUUUUUAGGGGUAGUGUUCUAUAACUCUAGGGCGUUCUAUAACUUUUUAUUUUUUAGGGUUAGUAUUCUAUAAUAUUAGAGUGUUCUAUAACUUUUUCUUUUUUAGAGGUAGUGUUCUAUAAUAUUAGAGUGUUCUAUAACUUUUUAUUUUUUAGGGUUAGUAUUCUAUAAUAUUAGAGUGUUAUAUAACUUUUUCUUUUUUAGAGGUAGUGUUCUAUAACUUUAGGGCGUUCUAUAACUUUUUAUUUUUUAGAUGUAAAGUUCUAUAACUUUAGGGCGUUCUAUAACUUUAGGGCGUUCUAUAACUUUUUAUUUUUUAGGGGUAGUGUUCUAUAACUUUAGGGCGUUCUAUAACUUUUUCUUUUUUAGAGGUAGUGUUCUAUAACUUUAGGGCGUUCUAUAACUUUUUCUUUUUUAGAGGUAGUGUUCUAUAAUAUUAGAGUGUUCUAUAACUUUUUAUUUUUUAGGGUUAGUAUUCUAUAACUUUAGGGCGUUCUAUAACUUUUUCUUUUUUAGAGGUAGUGUUCUAUAAUAUUAGAGUGUUCUAUAACUUUUUAUUUUUUAGGGUUAGUAUUCUAUAAUAUUAGAGUGUUCUAUAACUUUUUCUUUUUUAGAUGUAGUAUUCUAUAAUAUUAGAGUGUUCUAUAACUUUUUCUUUUUUAGCGUUCCUGUACACAUCCAUCUCCAAUCACUAUUCUCACCACAUUUCCGCUAAUCCCAACACGUUAAAGUAUACUUGCAUUUUGUGUAUUCAGAUUUAGUUACAAUAUACAUGUGAGACCCUGAGGGCAGUUGACAGCACAGGUUUACAUGUGUAUAUGUAUUUCAACCCCGGAGGGGAGAGAAUACAUUUUGUAAAUGAACAGAAAAACAACAAUGCCCAUGUGGCGUUUGAACAGUGACUAAAGGAGUGAAAGACAGNNNNNNNNNNNNNNNNNNNNNNNNNNNNNNNNNNNNNNNNNNNNNNNNNNNNNNNNNNNNNNNNNNNNNNNNNNNNNNNNNNNNNNNNNNNNNNNNNNNNNNNNNNNNNNNNNNNNNNNNNNNNNNNNNNNNNNNNNNNNNNNNNNNNNNNNNNNNNNNNNNNNNNNNNNNNNNNNNNNNNNNNNNNNNNNNNNNNNNNNNNNNNNNNNNNNNNNNNNNNNNNNNNNNNNNNNNNNNNNNNNNNNNNNNNNNNNNNNNNNNNNNNNNNNNNNNNNNNNNNNNNNNNNNNNNNNNNNNNNNNNNNNNNNNNNNNNNNNNNNNNNNNNNNNNNNNNAUCUUAGUAAAGGGCAUAGAGUUUAAAGAAUAUAAGCGCCGGUAACAACUUAACUUUAGACUAUUCUAUACUAGUAGCUAUUAUAUCCUUUUUAUAAUACUUAUUAUAUCAUACUAUUAUCUAUUAUUCUUUACUGUUAAGUAUAUCCUUAUAUUUUAUAAAACCUUUUCUCUACUAGCUAGUCCUACUAUACUUUCUUUUAUAACCUACUAGUAUUAAAUAAUACCUUUAUAUUCUUCUUUUAUACUAUCUCUAUUUCUUGCCUUAUCUAUUAAGUAGAUAUAGAUAGAGCUAAUAGAUCUAUAGUUAAUAUAGAUACAGUAGUUAUAGUAGAGUAUAGAUAUUAGAGUAGAUAUCCUUAUCUAUAUAUUUACCUACUACUAAUAAAAUUCUAAGUUACUCUUAUCUAGCAAAUACAGGUUUAUGGUUUGUAUAGGGCUGCGCAUGUCUACACAGUUUUACAUAUAAAAAAGUGUACCUCUAAGCUAUUUUCCGCCGCACUAACCCCGCAACGCGAAAAUCAAACCAAAACCUGUUCUUAUAAUAUAUAAGGAGGGCAAAUAGAUUCUUAAAUACUAAAUACCUAACUAACUAACUAAGGUUAAAUCUACUGCGCGCAGUUCUUGGAUUAGGCAGUUAAACUAGCGUUAUUAGGCACUAAGGGGGCAAUUUUUGCUCGUGUCCGCGUCUAUACUCCCUACAACUCCCUAUUGUUAGCGCUCUGUGCCUAUUUUAGCGGCAGUUAGACUAAAUUUGAAAGUUUUGGUUUUAUAAUAGCUAGCCUUGUUUCCCAGAUUUCUGCCUGGUUUGGAUUUGCUCUAAUUAGUGGGUAAUUAGGGGCUUAGAGAUUGCUCUUCUACUUAACUAGGCAGGCCUAGGCCUAUAUGCUAAAGCAACCCUGCUAUUGCGCCUAGUUUUGUGGUUAGCACCUAAAGUCCUACUAUUAAAGUUUUAGCAGUAGGCAAAAUUUAGGGUCUGUAGAUAGCUAGCACUGCUAAACUAUUUAAUAGAUCUUAGGGGAUAGCCCUGCCUAGCAUCCGCUCCUAGUAAGCGUAGCAAAGCGUAGGUUUUCUCUACUUAAGGCAUGUAUGUAGCGAGUUUGAACACGCGGAAACGCCUGUUAGGCUUUGUUACAGACUAUUCCUUAAGAAACUUAGUAGGGGCAAUUAAAUUAGUUACUAGUUGUAACUAGUGCCUUAUAUGCUGUUAUGCUAGUAGCUAGAAUUGCUUCUGCAAUUUCUUAUCACGUACUUUCUGCCUCCUUUUAGGGGUAGUGCUUAUACGCUUUAGCGUAUUAGGUAUUAGGAUUAUUACCUAGUUAAUUCUGCUAGUAGUUAUAUGCUUAUCUUAAAGAUUAAGCUAUGUAUAUCUAAGUAUAAGCAAUUAUACUAUAAAACUGCAAAUAGCUUAUUAAAUUAGUUAUUGU